Carassius gibelio (silver crucian carp) is the source of this 1192-nucleotide long non-coding RNA. RefSeq lists it as uncharacterized. The record is from RefSeq and is a predicted model, not a curated record. The transcript has 2 exons. NCBI's taxonomy places the organism in Eukaryota, Metazoa, Chordata, Actinopteri, Cypriniformes, Cyprinidae.
UUGUACCUCAUAUGUGUUCAAUUGAGAUUGUUCCACACUGUGAGUGUUCGUACAUGUCUCUUGUUCUUCAGCACUAAAGGUCUCGUCAGCUUGCUACUGGAAACAAUCUGUGUAGAAAAAACACACACACACACACCAGACAAUGUCACGGAGUAAAAAUGGCUUCAAAACAUGGAUGUUUAGGAUCUUUGGUGGUCUUACCUGUCCCAGCGAGCACUCGAACUCACCCAGGAAGUCGUCAUCGCUCAAGUCAACGGUUUUAUUGUCAAUAUCGUAAACCCCGAAUCUGAGUUUCUGAACAACCUCGAAGUAGUAAUCGACAACAAACUUCUUGGCAAAUUUGGGGUUCAAGCAGUUCUUAACCCUCUCAGUGCGAUCGACCUAGGAAACAAAACAUUCCCAUUCCCAAAUAUGCCCAGGCAUCCGCAUAGAUAUCUGAACUAUGUGCACAACAAGUGACCUGACCUCAAACCACUGGUUUCCCGAUGUGUUCAUGAGCAGGACACACAGCGGGUCAGAUUUGGAGCACACAUCCAUGUCCAGCAGGUUUUCACAGGAGACUGUCAGCUCCACCUUGGUCACACACGACGCAGCCAUUGGACUGAUCUGUUUACAUGGAAACUUGAUAAAAGCUUUUGGAAAAAUAACAGCACUUUCUAUGCCACAAACUGGUAGAUAAUCAUAGGAACAUUCCAGUGGUUUCAGUAUUUCCCUUUGUGCUUGAUAACAUUGCAUGUUGUGGCCUCUGUAACCACUAUUUAAUCAGGCCAAGCUGCAAUAUAGAUAUAUAUCACUGACUUAAUUUCUUAGGGUUAGUAAAUUGCACCUAGACAUGUACCGGUUGAAAACACUUUGACAGAGCUAGUUUUAGUUUCCCACGCUACUUAUCUGUUUAAUUAGCCUAACUUGUCAGAACACAUUCUGAUUGAAUCAGACCGGUUCUGUAUUUAAAGAAUGACAUGUGUUUAGUUUAGAAUCAAUAAUGGAUUUUUUUUAAUUUCGUUGAUGUUGCUUUGUUUUAAAUAGUCGUUUAUGAUGAACUAAUAAUAGUGGCUUGCAUUUGCUCUGCUCAAAUAAAUUCAUAGCAGACUCUGAUUUAGGUCAUAUCUCAUUUGUACUCUGUACAGUCUAUACUAUAUUCAUUUGUACUCCGUAAUGUUGCUCGUUUGUUUUGUUUUUUCAAAGCCCAUUU